UACAGAGGUCCCAAGCGUUGUUCGGAUUCACUGGGCGUAAAGGGUGCGUAGGCGGUCGGGUAAGUCUGAUGUGAAAUCUCGCAGCUUAACUGUGAAACUGCAUUGGAUACUAUCCGGCUCGAGGAAUGGAGGGGAGACUGGAAUACUUGGUGUAGCAGUGAAAUGCGUAGAUAUCAAGUGGAACACCAGUGGCGAAGGCGAGUCUCUGGACAUUUCCUGACGCUGAGGCACGAAAGCCAGGGGAGCAAACGGG
This 253-nucleotide ribosomal RNA is filed under the name uncultured bacterium. RNAcentral describes it as "partial 16S ribosomal RNA". It matches the Rfam family "Bacterial small subunit ribosomal RNA", at positions 524 to 776 of the family's 1533-position model. The record is from RNAcentral.